This 460-nucleotide ribosomal RNA is filed under the name uncultured bacterium. RNAcentral describes it as "partial 16S ribosomal RNA". It matches the Rfam family "Bacterial small subunit ribosomal RNA", at positions 338 to 795 of the family's 1533-position model. The record is from RNAcentral.
CCUACGGGCGACAGCAGUGAGGAAUAUUGGUCAAUGGGCGCGAGCCUGAACCAGCCAAGUAGCGUGAAGGAUGACUGCCCUACGGGUUGUAAACUUCUUUUAUAAAGGAAUAAAGUGAGGCACGUGUGCCUUUUUGUAUGUACUUUAUGAAUAAGGAUCGGCUAACUCCGUGCCAGCCGCCGCGGUAAUACGGAGGAUCCGAGCGUUAUCCGGAUUUAUUGGGUUUAAAGGGAGCGUAGAUGGGUUGUUAAGUCAGUUGUGAAAGUUUGCGGCUCAACCUUAAAAUUGCAAUUGAUACUGGCAGCCUUGAGUACAGUAGAGGUAGGCGGAAUUCGUGGUGUAGCGGUGAAAUGCGUAGAUAUCACGAAGAACACCGAUUGCGAAGGCAGCCUACUAAACUGCCACUGACAUUGAUGCUCGAAAGUGUGGGUAUCAAACAGGAUUAGAUACCCUUGUAGUC